This 253-nucleotide ribosomal RNA is filed under the name uncultured bacterium. Its description in RNAcentral is "partial 16S ribosomal RNA". It matches the Rfam family "Bacterial small subunit ribosomal RNA", at positions 524 to 776 of the family's 1533-position model. The record is from RNAcentral.
UACGUAGGGCGCAAGCGUUGUCCGGAAUUAUUGGGCGUAAAGAGCUCGUAGGCGGUUUGUUGCGUCUGCUGUGAAAACCUAAGGCUCAACCUUGGGCUUGCAGUGGGUACGGGCAGACUAGAGUGCGGUAGGGGUGACUGGAAUUCCUGGUGUAGCGGUGGAAUGCGCAGAUAUCAGGAGGAACACCGAUGGCGAAGGCAGGUCACUGGGCCGCAACUGACGCUGAGGAGCGAAAGUGUGGGGAGCGAACAGG